Molecule: small nuclear RNA, 98 nt
Organism: Erinaceus europaeus (western European hedgehog)
Lineage: Eukaryota; Metazoa; Chordata; Mammalia; Eulipotyphla; Erinaceidae
Source: Ensembl
AUGCUUGAUUUGGCAGCACAUAUACUAAAAUUGGAACGAUACAAAGCAUGGUCCCUUGCAAGGAAUACACGCAAAUUUGUGAAGCAUUCCAUAUAUUU